UACGUAGGGACCGAGCGUUGUCCGGAAUCAUUGGGCGUAAAGAGCGUGUAGGCGGCCACUUAAGUCCUGCGUGAAAUCCUGCGGCUCAACCGCAGGCGGUCGUGGGAAACUGGGUGGCUAGAGUGCGGGAGAGGAGAGUGGAAUUCCUGGUGUAGCGGUGGAAUGCGCAGAUAUCAGGAAGAACACCCGUGGCGAAGGCGGCUCUCUGGGACGGAACUGACGCUAAGGCGCGAAAGCGUGGGGAGCGAACAGG
This 253-nucleotide ribosomal RNA is filed under the name uncultured bacterium. RNAcentral describes it as "partial 16S ribosomal RNA". It matches the Rfam family "Bacterial small subunit ribosomal RNA", at positions 524 to 776 of the family's 1533-position model. The record is from RNAcentral.